UUUGAUCGAGCUACAUGUCAC
This 21-nucleotide non-coding RNA is filed under the name Arabidopsis thaliana (thale cress). Lineage: Eukaryota; Viridiplantae; Streptophyta; Magnoliopsida; Brassicales; Brassicaceae. The record is from RNAcentral.